Orcinus orca (killer whale) is the source of this 1806-nucleotide long non-coding RNA. RefSeq lists it as uncharacterized. NCBI's taxonomy places the organism in Eukaryota, Metazoa, Chordata, Mammalia, Artiodactyla, Delphinidae. The record is from RefSeq and is a predicted model, not a curated record. The transcript is spliced from 3 exons.
CGCGCGCGCACACACACACACACACACACACACACACACACCCUCACAUAAUUAGUAUUCAGCUUUUUUCAGACUUUUUUUUUUCCCAACUUGCAGAAUUAAAUGUGUUCUCGCUCUGUCUCUCUCUCUGUUUCUGUCUCUCUUUCUCUUCCCCCAUACCAGGAAUCUGUCUUGUGUGAUGUGAUGGCCAAGGCCCUGAACUAACUACUAAGCAUAGGGCUAAUAAGAAAUGGAUAAAGAUUACUUUGGAUACUCUUUCCCAUGCACAAAGGCAUGCUUAGAUGUAAUGUCUGUUACUAGGUGCUAUGUGAAUGUGUACAUUACAUCUAUAACAAAAUAUCUGCUGAUAUUCCAUAUGUCAUGUUUUAAAGUCAUUCUAAGUUAUACAAAAUAAUAGGCUCUGAUGAAAUAAUUGUGCUUUCCCUUUCUUCCAUGCUGUCAUGUGACCGUUCAUAAUCUGUUGGAGGGUUCUCGAGUCCCAGGAGCAGGGGAAUCGCAGAGAGCCAUGAAUCUGCCUGCUAUGUAAGCUCUCUAGCAAGGAAAAGCUGACCCAGGUGUGAAGCAGACCAGUACACCCCACAGACACUAAAACAGUUGACCCCGACGUGAUUUGAACACGCAACCUUCUGAUCUGGAGUCAGACGCGCUACCGUUGCGCCACGAGGUCCUGCGGGAGCCCCCCUUUUCCUUUACCUGUCAACCUGAUCUAUGAAAUUAAUCAUCUGUACCAAGUAAGUGAAGUUUAAUUGUGCCGAAUCCCAUCUGCGCGACAGCGGCGUCUCCUUACACCCGCUCUUGUCCUUAGUUGAAAUGAUCGAUUUCAUACUGCGAGAGUUCUUUCUAAUCUGAUCACUGGAUCUGAAACUGCCCCUAAGAAGAGCAGGAAAUCUUUUUUGCCGGAGGGAGCGAGUGAUCCCGUCACCAGGGUUUGACUAUUAAAGCGCCUGUCUGGGAAACUGCAGGCGGGUUUCGAAUCUCAAUGAGAUUUUUUCCCGAGAUGUAAAUAAGGGAGAGGUCGCUUUGAACUCCUAGAAAAAGAUAUUCUGAAAAAGGAAUCCUGCGCUCUGGACCCAUUUUUCAAGAUUAAGAGCUGGAAAUUUUAAUUUUCAGAGGAGGUGCGUCUGUUUUACAGUAGUGGAUCAUUUUUCAGAAUAUCCUGUCCAGUAGUCUCAAAAUUGUGUGCCUCUGAUUCUCCUUAUCUCUUUUCCUUGCUUUUCCUAGGCUAGAUGCUGCAUACUAUAUAUCAGCAUCUAGUAUACCAUAUAUUUUACUUCUAUAUUUAUUGAUUACCUAUUGAAAAUAACUAAACUAAAAGCUAAGGCACAGCCUCUUUGGGGGCCCGUCUGAGAGGUCAGCUUGCCCUCCACAUAACAUAUCCUCUUUGGCUACCACAGCCACCUCACCAUAGCAUGGCUACCACUCCCUGCUAAGAACAAACACCAGGAAGUUGACCCAGAGGGAUGGUGGCCUCUCUAAGAAAUCAGACUCUCAGACUUGAUAUAUGUCCCUCAUUUUGGUUGUGGAUCCCCUGUGACACAGAACACGUGGUAAGUUAUUGCAGCAGAGGCUGCUAGAGUAGUUAUCAAAGUCUGUUUCCUUUUCUUGGAAAUACAAUUGUCUUGGUCUGUUUGGGGUGCUAUCACAAAAUAUCAUAGACUAGGUGGCUUAAACAAAAAAAAACAUUUCUUUCUCACAGUUCUGGAGGCUGGGAAGUCCAAGAUCAAGGCAUUAGCAGUUCAGUAUGGCUGUUCCUCACGUGGUGGCAGGGGCCAGGGAGUCCUCUGGGGUCUCUUUUAUAAGGACACU